Molecule: ribosomal RNA, 403 nt
Filed under: uncultured bacterium
Lineage: Bacteria
Description: bacterial SSU rRNA
Rfam family: Bacterial small subunit ribosomal RNA
Source: RNAcentral
UGGGGAAUCUUGCGCAAUGGGCGAAAGCCUGACGCAGCCAUGCCGCGUGAAUGAUGAAGGUCUUAGGAUUGUAAAAUUCUUUCACCGGGGACGAUAAUGACGGUACCCGGAGAAGAAGCUCCGGCUAACUUCGUGCCAGCAGCCGCGGUAAUAUGAAGGGGGCUAGCGUUGCUCGGAAUUACUGGGCGUAAAGGGAGCGUAGGCGGACAGUUAAGUCAGAGGUGAAAGCCCAGGGCUCAACCCUGGAAUUGCCUUUGAUACUGAUUGUCUUGAGUAUGGGAGAGGUAUGCGGAACUCCGAGUGUAGAGGUGAAAUUCGUAGAUAUUCGGAAGAACACCAGUGGCGAAGGCGGCAUACUGGCCCAUUACUGACGCUGAGGCUCGAAAGCGUGGGGAGCAAACAG